GGCUCGGUGGCACGGUGGUUAGCACUGCUGCCUCACCACAAGGUCGUGGGUUCGAAUCCAGCCUAGGGCCU
Non-coding RNA from Gymnothorax javanicus (giant moray), 71 nucleotides. The record is from the annotation of a GenBank genome assembly. NCBI's taxonomy places the organism in Eukaryota, Metazoa, Chordata, Actinopteri, Anguilliformes, Muraenidae.